Non-coding RNA from Sus scrofa (pig), 1477 nucleotides. The record is from RefSeq and is a predicted model, not a curated record. Lineage: Eukaryota; Metazoa; Chordata; Mammalia; Artiodactyla; Suidae.
AUUCCUCCUUUUUGGAUUGUGGACUUGUCCCAUCCAUCAAUAAAUCUGUGGCAUCUUCCAUGAUUAAUGGUGAAUCUGGAGCAACUGUUCUUUGGGUAAAUGCUGGCAAGGUUUGAGGAUGGACCACAUAUGAAGCAUCUAUUCAGUUAGCCAGGGAGGAUCCUGAGGUACAGCACAGAAGUGAAAAGUUUUCCUGAUGGAAUGUUUUCUUUCUUCCUUCACCAUGAGAGAACUGAAGAACACAAGUAUCCAGAUUAAAAGCCUCCUCCACCUCCAAGCAAAUAGUUAGAAAAGUGAAUGAAACAAGACCUGCAGGUAGGGGGUCACAAAACUCACUGGGGUUAAAGGGACAAUUCUGAAAGUUGCUGGGGGGUCGGGGGGGAGGGAGGGGCUAGUGGUGGUAAAAAGGAUCAGUUCAAAGGAAUGGGAGUCUAAACAAAAAGACACAAGGUUUUUCAAUAGCAAUACUGGAUUUUGGAAGAAAAUUGUGCUUCAGAAGGAAAGUCCUUUUUAACCUAGAACUUUAUAGCCAGCCAAAGUCUCAGUUAGAUGGGAAUGGAAGUAAAACAAAAACUGAAAACAUUUGCCUCCCAUUCUUGGAUGUGCUCCCAUAAAAGAAAGAACUGAAACCAACAGAAGAAGGCCUGGAAUCCAAGAACAAUCAGCAUCUAUCCCACAAGAAGAGGGGGAAGAAAAAUCUCAGGAUGACCGCUAGGCAACAGCUACUUGUUGGGUGGCCAGUCAUCUGCCUGUUUCUGGUCUUUGUUCUGUUUUCUUUGUUCCAGGACUCCCACUAAUUGGGUACUGUCAUUCUUGAUUAUUUGAAUAUCUUAUAAUCUCUUAUCUCCUAUUGUCUCAUUCUUUCUUUUAUCUUCUACUUUCUUUGUAAUUUUCUCAUCUUUGUGUUCUACCUUUCUAGUUCAUCACAUUUUAAAUUUCUGAGACCUCUUAUCCUAUGUUCCUUUUUCAUAGCAUCUUGCUCUUACUUUUACUACAUCCACUAUUUUCUCAUGUCUCUGAGAGAAUGAAUGAUAUUUUUAAAACAUCAUCUAUUCCCUGUAUUAUCAAUUUACUCUAGACUCCAUUUUUCUCUGUUGAUCUUGACAAAUCUCCUUUUUAAUUUUGGAGGUUCAAAAAAAAUUACAGACAAUUUCUCUAACUAAGCUGAAACUGUGCUACAAAAAUGGAGAAAUAUUCAAGGUGAUCCAAAUUAUUUCCAAAAUACUGCAUCAUGAAAAACAUAGAAAAUUCAAUGUUCUUCAGAAAAGCAAAUAAAUAUUAUUUCUAGAAAUAGGUUUAUUCAAUCAUAUAAAAUGAUUAACAGGUACAUGUGAUUAAACUUUUUAAGGUAUCCUUGAAAAUGUGGAGGUAGGUAGUAUGGGAGGAAAAUAAUAAAACUUGUCAAAAUGGAGAAGAGUGGAGUUCCCGUCGUGGCGCAGUGGUUAACGAAUCCGACUAGGUUGCGGGUUCAAUCCCU